GCGAGUGAAGCGGCAACAGCUCAAAUUUGAAAGCUGGCUUAGGCCCGCAUUGUAAUUUGCAGAGGAUGCUUCUGGCGAGGUGCCUUCCGAGUUCCCUGGAACGGGACGCCAUAGAGGGUGAGAGCCCCGUAUGGAUGGACACCAGACCUGUGUGAAGCUCCUUCAACGAGUCGAGUAGUUUGGGAAUGCUGCUCUAAAUGGGAGGUAAAUCUCUUCUAAAGCUAAAUACCGGCCAGAGACCGAUAGCGCACAAGUAGAGUGAUCGAAAGAUGAAAAGCACCUUGAAAAGGGGGUUAAACAGUACGUGAAAUUGUUGAAAGGGAAGCGCUUGUGACCAGACUUGCGCCGGGCAGCUCAUCAGGGGUUCUCCCCUGUGCACUCUGCCCGGCUCAGGCCAGCAUCGGUUCUCGUGGGAGGAUAAGAACGGUAGGAACGUGGCCCCCUCUCGGGGGGGUGUUAUAGCCUGCCGUACGAUACUCCCGUGGGGACCGAGGUUCGCGCUCCGCAAGGAUGCUGGC
This 518-nucleotide ribosomal RNA is filed under the name Cytospora ribis. RNAcentral's name for it is "eukaryotic LSU rRNA". It matches the Rfam family "Eukaryotic large subunit ribosomal RNA", at positions 89 to 630 of the family's 3401-position model. RNAcentral also lists the same sequence under 1 other name. The record is from RNAcentral. Lineage: Eukaryota; Fungi; Ascomycota; Sordariomycetes; Diaporthales; Cytosporaceae.